AUCGGGCCACAUUUGGGACUGAGACACGGGCCCAAACUCCUACGGGAGGCAGCAGUAGGGGAAUCUUUCGGCAAUGGACGAAAAGUCUGACCGAGCAACGCCGCGUGAGUGAAGAAGGUUUUCGGAUCGUAAAACUCUGUUGUUAGAGAAGAACAAGGAUGAGAGUAACUGUUCAUCCCUUGACGGUAUCUAACCAGAAAGCCACGGCUAACUACGUGCCAGCAGCCGCGGUAAUACGUAGGUGGCAAGCGUUGUCCGGAUUUAUUGGGCGUAAAGCGAGCGCAGGCGGUUUCUUAAGUCUGAUGUGAAAGCCCCCGGCUCAACCGGGGAGGGUCAUUGGAAACUGGGAGACUUGAGUGCAGAAGAGGAGAGUGGAAUUCCAUGUGUAGCGGUGAAAUGCGUAGAUAUAUGGAGGAACACCAGUGGCGAAGGCGGCUCUCUGGUCUGUAACUGACGCUGAGGCUCGAAAGCGUGGGGAGCAAACAGGAUUAGAUACCCUGGUAGUCCACGCCGUAAACGAUGAGUGCUAAGUGUUGGAGGGUUUCCGCCCUUCAGUGCUGCAGCUAACGCAUUAAGCACUCCGCCUGGGGAGUACGACCGCAAGG
RNAcentral lists this ribosomal RNA (605 nucleotides) under uncultured Enterococcus sp. Its description in RNAcentral is "bacterial SSU rRNA". It matches the Rfam family "Bacterial small subunit ribosomal RNA", at positions 302 to 893 of the family's 1533-position model. Lineage: Bacteria; Bacillati; Bacillota; Bacilli; Lactobacillales; Enterococcaceae. The record is from RNAcentral.